GGACUACUGGGGUAUCUAAUCCUGUUCGCUACCCACGCUUUCGCACCUCAGCGUCAGUCUGAAGCCAGGAAGCCGCCUUCGCCACUGAUGUUCCUUCCGAUAUCUACGCAUUUCACCGCUACACCGGAAAUUCCGCUUCCCUCUCUUCGACUCCAGUUAUACAGUCUUAAUUGCACCUCCCAGGUUAAGCCCAGGGCUUUCACAACUAACUUAUUUAACCGCCUACGUGCCCUUUACGCCCAGUAACUCCGAUUAACGCUUGCACCCUCUGUAUUACCGCGGCUGCUGGCAC
RNAcentral lists this ribosomal RNA (292 nucleotides) under uncultured bacterium. RNAcentral's name for it is "partial 16S ribosomal RNA". The record is from RNAcentral.